Molecule: long non-coding RNA, 1006 nt
Filed under: Carica papaya (papaya)
Lineage: Eukaryota; Viridiplantae; Streptophyta; Magnoliopsida; Brassicales; Caricaceae
Description: long non-coding RNA (CPAP_LNC012600)
Source: RNAcentral
AAUAUUGUGGACGCCGGAGAAGGAAGCGUUUGGCGCGAGUGAUCUCGUCGUUUUCUUGACGACGGUGAUGUAUGCAGCACUCGGGGAGGGUAUUUUUGUUAUUAGACCGAUCGUUGACUCGUUGGCUGUCGGGGGAAAUCUAUGCCAAUUUUCGAGGCCAUGUCAGCAGUUGGUUUCGCAGCCGGAAAACUCGCCGGCGGUUUCAGGAGGAGAUAGUGGGCGGCGGAAUCGUAGCGUGGCGUCACGGGAUCAAGAAGAAGAUGAAGGGUGUUAGAACGUGGACGUGCAUGGAUGCAUGCACGUGUAUUUAUAGGACGUAUAUAUAUUGUGGGAUCGAUCCAUGCAGGAAACUGAGACAUGGUGGUGAUUUCCAACAAAUCACGGGGGCAUUUUGGGAAAAUCAGGUAAAAAUUCUCAAAGACGUGCUGGCUUCAAUUUUUAUUUUAUUUUUUAUUUUUAUUUCGGUACGUGGUAGAAAUUUAUAUUAUUGUGGUUUGUUUUUUUGGAGAAUAAUAAUAAAUUAAACAAAUAAAUACAACAUAUAUAUAUAUAUAAAAACUCUUUUGUUAAUUAUAUAAAUCUAUAUAUAUAUAUAUAUAUAUAUAUAAGUUGAAUAAACGAAUAUUUCUAGACAUAUAUAUAUAUACAUAUAUAGUAGGUCACUGCAAAAGGGAGUUCCUUCGAAAUUUUUAGUCAAACAUGAGAAUUUUCAUAUUAUUUUCAGAUAUGAAAAUCAGACAGCAAAUGACUCGGAAGAAGAAGGUUGAUGAUGAUGCUGGUUUGAUAGCAAAUAUGAGUCGCCUCGGUCGCCGACCGCCGCCGUAUGCGGUGCACUGUGAAGUUUAAUUUUUUGUGAUGAUCAGCUCAUGCGUUUCAUAUAGGUUUUGUACUGGUCGGUUUCUCGUAUUAUUUUCGUCUUGUUUGUAUUCAAAAUUUUUAAUGUCAUCCCUCGGCAACAAUUUUGUGUUGGUGGUGUUAAAUAUUUAUAUAAUCUUAUGUAGAACCA